UAUUGCUUUAGCGAUCGUAAUUUAAUUUAAAUUAAUUUUUUUUACAUGUUAACAAAUGUAUAUUUAUACCAAUUUUUUCUUUGUCUCUUUAUUCCAAAAUUUCGCGUGUUAUCCGCAAUUAUCUAUAGAGAGUAAUCUGUGGUGCGUCUUAAUCACGGAAAAAGAUAAAAGUUUCACAUUACAAGAAUUAUAGCUGAGCCGCUUUGGGAACUUCCAGUUGAUUCCACUCACGUGCCAUUCCGUAGUGACUUAUAAAGACGUUUAUAUCCGUUCAAGAGGAAAAAAAGAAAGGUUCAAUAAGUGCUUUUGUAUCUUCGCCAAAACUCGCGUUAUACUCAUUGGUACUCUCGAAACGGAAAAUUUUCCGAUUACAGGUAAAUACGCGGACGUGAGUUGUCAACGGGGAGAGAAAAAUAAUAUAUAUGUUUUUUUAAAAGAGCAUCAAACGGAAUUAUUUAACGGGAUUAUUUAGGUUUAAUAGGUUAAUCGCUUAAUCCUUUUGCGCUUUCUGUUAUCAAAGCACGAAACGCUUGCGAGUGCAUGUCGCGUGCGCUGCACGAGAGUGGAGAGUUUCCGCUGCACGGACCACCGGGCGUUACCGUUGCGCCUAAUGGAACCCCGACAAACCCCGAGCGUUGGCGUUAGCGCGGCCUCAUCGUAUCCCUCCCAAUCGAUUUUACUCACGCGCUACACGGGAACAGAUUGCACGCUUCCCUGUAUCUAAGCGCAAUGAAAAACGGUCGUUGUUUUUGGUUCAUCAUCGCACCUGCGCUUUCAUCCCAGGUCACGCGCAUCCGUCCGCAACGACGUUCAUAACUCUCGAGCCCGGAAGAGGAACGCGCUUCUAAUAUUUUCUUCAUUUUGUUACAUCGUCAUGAGAAUAGCCUACAUUCGGUGAUUGCGGAAAACGAACAAAAAGGAAUUUUUGCGAUCUAAACCUUAGACAUUUUUUAGUAUUUGAAGUAAAGUGAGCGUUGCAAAGCGAUAAUACAAAAGGAAAUAUCAACGAAGAUGUACUCGUAUCAACAGAUAUACUCUGUAUGUUAUGUAAAUGUGUAUACAUAUCACAAAGAAUUUUUUCUAUUUUACUUUGGCUAUUCGCUGCACUCAAAGAAAAAAUAGUACCAGCUACUAAAAAUUGAAGAAAAGUAACAUUUCACCUAUGCAUUGUAAAAUUAUGAUAAAAAAAGUUAAUAAGUUGAAAAAAUAGAAGAAAGUUAUUAAAUGCGUAAGCGGUCACUUAAAUUGAAUCUUAAUAUCAUUUAUAUUUUUAUUUAAUAUAAAUAGCAUUUAGUGACAAAAUUUAGUGACAAAAAUACAAAGUAAAUGAAAGAUAAA
This is a long non-coding RNA of Monomorium pharaonis (pharaoh ant), 1338 nucleotides long. RefSeq lists it as uncharacterized. Lineage: Eukaryota; Metazoa; Arthropoda; Insecta; Hymenoptera; Formicidae. The transcript has 2 exons. The record is from RefSeq and is a predicted model, not a curated record.